AUGUUACUCUUCUUUGUUUUCAUCAUUAAAAACAUUGGUGCUGUUGACAGCAGCAUCACACCAGACCAAACCAUUAUAUCUUCAGCUGAGGGCAGCAAAACCACACUGACCUGCACAUAUGAUGACUCGGCUUACUAUCUCUACUGGUAUCGACAAAAGCCUCAGUCAGGACCAGAGUUUCUGCUGCUGACUGAUAAAUCCACAGAAACUAUCAUUAGAGCUAAACAACCUGACCCACGUCUGUUCAUCAGACUUCGUAAAAAUGAAAAGAAAGUAGAUGUGGAGAUCUUUCCUGCUGCAGUAUCAGACUCUGCACUGUACUACUGCGCCAUGGAGCCCACAGGGACACAAAACUCAAACACACUCUUUGUAAUCCUGCUGCAGUAUCAGACUCUGCACUGUCGUCCUGCACCCUGGAGCUCACAGUGA
Neoarius graeffei (lesser salmon catfish) is the source of this 429-nucleotide non-coding RNA. Lineage: Eukaryota; Metazoa; Chordata; Actinopteri; Siluriformes; Ariidae. The record is from the annotation of a RefSeq genome assembly.